RNAcentral lists this ribosomal RNA (433 nucleotides) under uncultured bacterium. RNAcentral describes it as "partial 16S ribosomal RNA". It matches the Rfam family "Bacterial small subunit ribosomal RNA", at positions 29 to 507 of the family's 1533-position model. The record is from RNAcentral.
AAUGAACGCUGGCGGCAUGCCUAACACAUGCAAGUCGAACGAAGGCUUCGGCCUUAGUGGCGCACGGGUGCGUAACGCGUGGGAAUCUGCCCUUGGGUUCGGAAUAACAGUUAGAAAUGACUGCUAAUACCGGAUGACGUCGUAAGACCAAAGAUUUAUCGCCCAAGGAUGAGCCCGCGUAGGAUUAGCUAGUUGGUGGGGUAAAGGCCUACCAAGGCGACGAUCCUUAGCUGGUCUGAGAGGAUGAUCAGCCACACUGGGACUGAGACACGGCCCAGACUCCUACGGGAGGCAGCAGUGGGGAAUAUUGGACAAUGGGCGAAAGCCUGAUCCAGCAAUGCCGCGUGAGUGAUGAAGGCCUUAGGGUUGUAAAGCUCUUUUACCCGGGAUGAUAAUGACAGUACCGGGAGAAUAAGCUCCGGCUAACUUCGUG